RNAcentral lists this ribosomal RNA (253 nucleotides) under uncultured bacterium. RNAcentral describes it as "partial 16S ribosomal RNA". It matches the Rfam family "Bacterial small subunit ribosomal RNA", at positions 524 to 776 of the family's 1533-position model. The record is from RNAcentral.
UACGUAGGGGGCAAGCGUUAUCCGGAUUUACUGGGUGUAAAGGGAGCGUAGACGGCGUCGCAAGUCUGAAGUGAAAGCCCGUGGCUCAACCGCGGAACCGCUUUGGAAACUGCGAGGCUGGAGUGCUGGAGAGGUAAGCGGAAUUCCUGGUGUAGCGGUGAAAUGCGUAGAUAUCAGGAGGAACACCGGUGGCGAAGGCGGCUUACUGGACAGUGACUGACGUUGAGGCUCGAAAGCGUGGGGAGCGAACAGG